Molecule: ribosomal RNA, 659 nt
Filed under: Polypedilum asakawaense
Lineage: Eukaryota; Metazoa; Arthropoda; Insecta; Diptera; Chironomidae
Description: partial 28S ribosomal RNA
Source: RNAcentral
CCAAAUAUCUAAACGGAGAAAUUCAAUAUUACCGGUCAGCAAUGGCAGUAAUGUGCACUUUUCUCUUAGUAAGACGCCGUGAUUCAUUAGAAAUUGGUGUACGCCAAGUACACAGUGGGUCAUCAAUAGGCCARCGCGAAGUUUAUUGGAACAAAUGGCACGAUCUUUUACGGUUGUGUGUAUUGUCUGGUAAGCGUGUUGUGUCCUGCAAUGACUGUCUGAUGAGUUUUAAGGACUGCGAUAUCAACGAUGUUACGGCAUUGGCGCUUGCGCAAUUCGAUACGUGUCUGAUCGACGGCGGUUAAAUUUGGGAUACCUUUUGGACCCGUCUUGAAACACGGACCAAGGAGUCUAUCUAGUAUGCGAGUAAAUGGAUAGUUAAUGAAAUCUAUUUGCGUAAUAAACUUGACUGUUCAAUGGGAUUACGGCUUGUGACACUYGCGUGUUCCUUGCCUUCCAUCCCGGGGUAUUUUCAUCCACAUGUGGAGCAAUUCACAUGGAAAAUAUACCAUGAGCACACUGGAUACGACCCGAAAGAUGGUGAACUAUGCCUGAUCAGGUCGAAGUCAGGGGAAACCCUGAUGGAGGACCGAAGCAGUUCUGACGUGCAAAUCGAUUGUCAGAAUUGGGCAUAGGGGCGAAAGACCAAUCGAACCAUC